UAGCUGCUACGGUUUACGUAAAGUAAUUUCGUAUUUUUAUACAAAAAGGCGCAUUUUUAUGCGCCUUUUUU
RNAcentral lists this small RNA (71 nucleotides) under Silvanigrella aquatica. RNAcentral describes it as "Salmonella enterica sRNA STnc40". It matches the Rfam family "Salmonella enterica sRNA STnc40". The record is from Rfam by way of RNAcentral. Lineage: Bacteria; Pseudomonadati; Bdellovibrionota; Oligoflexia; Silvanigrellales; Silvanigrellaceae.